Molecule: long non-coding RNA, 535 nt
Organism: Microtus oregoni (creeping vole)
Lineage: Eukaryota; Metazoa; Chordata; Mammalia; Rodentia; Cricetidae
Exons: 4
Source: RefSeq, a predicted model, not a curated record
UUCCCCCUCCUUAUUGUCUGUCUGUCGCGGUGACAACAACAGUAACUUCCACAUUGCUUUUCUGGAUUUUCCUGGUGCAGUCUGAAGACACAUAACACACACCAUUCCCUGCCAUGACCUACUGUCAGCAGCCCGCUCAGAAGGAAAGAUGGCUGACCCACACUUUAGAAUGCAGCUCCGAGUGGCUCCUACCAAAGCUGAGAAUCCAGCUCUCGAAGAAGCUGUCGCCCUGGGGCUUUCCUCUGUUCCCAACUGAUCCAAGCUGACUUCAAGUGGACUGGAAGGCACUUUGAAGACCAUCCCAGGACCCACAGGGGAUGGAAUUACUGGGUGCGAAGUCAAUGCUUUGGUCCUGAUCCCAGAUAGCCAGAGUGCCAAGGACGGACGGGCGCAGUGAAGACUGUCCACAGGUCAUGUCCAUCUCUGCAGAGAGCAGGUAUAUUCUUAUGGGAAGAAGAGGAAGGGACCCCAAACUCGCCCCUAAAAUAACAUCCUUGGACUAUUACUUACAAGUAAGAUAGAAGCGCCCCGAAAU